RNAcentral lists this ribosomal RNA (253 nucleotides) under uncultured bacterium. RNAcentral describes it as "partial 16S ribosomal RNA". It matches the Rfam family "Bacterial small subunit ribosomal RNA", at positions 524 to 776 of the family's 1533-position model. The record is from RNAcentral.
UACAGAGGUCUCAAGCGUUGUUCGGAUUCAUUGGGCGUACAGGGUGUGUAGGUGGCGCCGUAAGUCGGGUGUGAAAUUUCGGAGCUUAACUCCGAAACUGCAUUCGAUACUGCGGUGCUUGAGGACUGGAGAGGAGACUGGAAUUCAUGGUGUAGCAGUGAAAUGCGUAGAGAUCAUGAGGAAGACCAGUGGCGAAGGCGGGUCUCUGGACAGUUCCUGACACUGAGACACGAAGGCCAGGGGAGCAAACGGG